ACCUACGGGAGGCAGCAGUGGGGGAUAUUGCACAAUGGGGGAAACCCUGAUGCAGCGACGCCGCGUGAGCGAUGAAGUAUUUCGGUAUGUAAAGCUCUAUCCGCAGGGAAGAAAAUGACGGUACCUGACUAAGAAGCCCCGGCUAACUAAGUGCCAGCAGCCGCGGUAAUACGUAGGGGGCAAGGGAUAACCGGAUUUACUGGGUGUAAAGGGAGCGUAGACGGCAGUGCAAGUCUGAAGUGAAAGGCAAGGGCUCAACCCUUGGACGGCUUUGGAAACUGUUCUGCUGGAGUGUCGGAGAGGCA
This 305-nucleotide ribosomal RNA is filed under the name uncultured bacterium. RNAcentral's name for it is "bacterial SSU rRNA". It matches the Rfam family "Bacterial small subunit ribosomal RNA", at positions 337 to 659 of the family's 1533-position model. The record is from RNAcentral.